GUCUUAUCGAGAAUAAAAAAGGCACACUGUUCAUUGUAUCUAGUUAACACAAAUCUCAUACCGUACAUGCAUUCAAAAUUUAUGACGACACACUCGACCUCGGAUGAGUCGAACCUCGGAUGAGUCGAAUACUUUGGUCCAGUCCCUUCGACUUCGACACAACAAGGUUCGACUAUAUUGUUAUUUUGUGAAAAAUAAUGAAAGAAAAACAAAUAUGUAACACAGCAACAAACGACAAUCACUGAAUUACAGGC
This 254-nucleotide long non-coding RNA is filed under the name Mytilus galloprovincialis (Mediterranean mussel). Lineage: Eukaryota; Metazoa; Mollusca; Bivalvia; Mytilida; Mytilidae. The record is from RNAcentral.